UGCCUAACACAUGCAAGUCGUGCGAGAAUCAGGGGCUUGCUCCUGAAGAAAGCGGCGCACGGGUGAGUAACGCGUGGAUAACGUACCCGAGGGUUGGGAAUAACCUGCCGAAAGGCGGGCUAAUGCCCAAUAAGCUCAAGAGGAGCCCGCUCUUCUUGGGGAAAGCCAGCAAUGGCGCCCAUGGAUCGGUCCGCGUCCUAUCAGCUAGUUGGUGAGGUAAUGGCUUACCAAGGCUACGACGGGUAACUGGUCUGAGAGGACGACCAGUCACACUGGGACUGAGACACGGCCCAGACUCCUACGGGAGGCAGCAGUGGGGAAUAUUGGACAAUGGGCGAAAGCCUGAUCCAGCAAUGCCGCGUGAGUGAUGAAGGCCUUCGGGUUGUAAAGCUC
Molecule: ribosomal RNA, 393 nt
Filed under: uncultured organism
Description: bacterial SSU rRNA
Rfam family: Bacterial small subunit ribosomal RNA
Source: RNAcentral